CCGGGGCUUCUUCUNCGGGUACCGUCAUUAUCGUCCCCGCUGAAAGGACUUUACAACCCUAAGGCCUUCAUCGUCCACGCGGCAUGGCUAGAUCAGGCUUGCGCCCAUUGUCUAAGAUUCCCCA
RNAcentral lists this ribosomal RNA (124 nucleotides) under uncultured bacterium. RNAcentral's name for it is "partial 16S ribosomal RNA". The record is from RNAcentral.